This 78-nucleotide transfer RNA is filed under the name Clostridium carboxidivorans P7. RNAcentral describes it as "tRNA-Thr". It matches the Rfam family "tRNA". Rfam says of the family: Transfer RNA (tRNA) molecules are approximately 80 nucleotides in length. Their secondary structure includes four short double-helical elements and three loops (D, anti-codon, and T loops). Further hydrogen bonds mediate the characteristic L-shaped molecular structure. tRNAs have two regions of fundamental functional importance: the anti-codon, which is responsible for specific mRNA codon recognition, and the 3' end, to which the tRNAs corresponding amino acid is attached (by aminoacyl-tRNA synthetases). tRNAs cope with the degeneracy of the genetic code in two manners: having more than one tRNA (with a specific anti-codon) for a particular amino acid; and 'wobble' base-pairing, i.e. permitting non-standard base-pairing at the 3rd anti-codon position. Lineage: Bacteria; Bacillati; Bacillota; Clostridia; Eubacteriales; Clostridiaceae. The record is from RNAcentral.
UGCUCCUAUGGCUCAGCUGGUAGAGCAACUGAUUCGUAAUCAGUAGGCCGCAGGUUCGAAUCCUGUUAGGAGCACCAG